UGGGGAAUUUUGGACAAUGGGCGAAAGCCUGAUCCAGCAAUGCCGCGUGUGUGAAGAAGGCCUUCGGGUUGUAAAGCACUUUUGUCCGGAAAGAAAUCCUUGGCUCUAAUACAGUCGGGGGAUGACGGUACCGGAAGAAUAAGCACCGGCUAACUACGUGCCAGCAGCCGCGGUAAUACGUAGGGUGCAAGCGUUAAUCGGAAUUACUGGGCGUAAAGCGUGCGCAGGCGGUUUGCUAAGACCGAUGUGAAAUCCCCGGGCUCAACCUGGGAACUGCAUUGGUGACUGGCAGGCUAGAGUAUGGCAGAGGGGGGUAGAAUUCCACGUGUAGCAGUGAAAUGCGUAGAGAUGUGGAGGAAUACCGAUGGCGAAGGCAGCCCCCUGGGCCAAUACUGACGCUCAUGCACGAAAGCGUGGGGAGCAAACGGGAUUAGAUACCCUGGUAGUCCACGCCCUAAAGCGAUGUCAACUAGUUGUUGGGGGAUUCAUUUCCUUAGUAACGUAGCUAACGCGUGAAGUUGACCGCCUGGGGGAGUACGUCGCAAGAUUAAAACUCAAAUGAAUUGACGGGGUCAUAGCUGUUUCCUG
RNAcentral lists this ribosomal RNA (588 nucleotides) under uncultured bacterium. RNAcentral's name for it is "partial 16S ribosomal RNA". It matches the Rfam family "Bacterial small subunit ribosomal RNA", at positions 355 to 1376 of the family's 1533-position model. The record is from RNAcentral.